GAAACCAGGUUAGAUACCCUAUUACACUCGAAAGCAAAAUAGGUAAAUGCUUGAAUAUUAAUAGUUAUGUUCUUUAAAAUCAAAGAAUUUGGCGGUAUUUUAGUCUUGUUAGAGGAACUUGUUCUUUAAGCGAUAAAACACGUAGUAUCUUGCUUAUUUUUGUUAGUUAGUUUGUAUACCGUCAUUAUUAAAUGAUUUCGAGAGAAUUAAUUAUUGGGAUUAGUCGUUUGAGUUAAGUAUAUUAGAUCAAGGUGCAGCUUAUGAAUAAGUAGAAAUGAGUUACAAUAGAAUUUAUUUAGAACGGAUUAUAAAUUGAACAAUUUAUAUAGAAGGUGGAUGUAAUUGUAAAAAUAAUUUAAUAAGUUAUUUUGAUAAAAGCUCUAAGUUAUGUACAUAUCGCCCGUCGCA
Molecule: ribosomal RNA, 408 nt
Filed under: Eunephrops manningi
Lineage: Eukaryota; Metazoa; Arthropoda; Malacostraca; Decapoda; Nephropidae
Description: partial 12S ribosomal RNA
Source: RNAcentral